RNAcentral lists this ribosomal RNA (790 nucleotides) under uncultured soil bacterium. RNAcentral's name for it is "bacterial SSU rRNA". It matches the Rfam family "Bacterial small subunit ribosomal RNA", at positions 715 to 1503 of the family's 1533-position model. The record is from RNAcentral.
GCGAAAGCGCGCAACUGGACCGGAACUGACACUCAUGGACGAAAGCUAGGGGAGCGAAAGGGAUUAGAUACCCCUGUAGUCCUAGCUGUAAACGAUGGAUACUAGGUGUUGCCUGUAUCGACCCGGGCAGUGCCGUAGCUAACGCGUUAAGUAUCCCGCCUGGGGAGUACGCACGCAAGUGUGAAACUCAAAGGAAUUGACGGGGGCCCGCACAAGCGGUGGAGUAUGUGGUUUAAUUCGAUGCAACGCGAAGAACCUUACCAGGGCUUGACAUGUCCGGAAUCCUCUUGAAAGGGAGGAGUGCCUUCGGGAACCGGAGCACAGGUGGUGCAUGGCUGUCGUCAGCUCGUGUCGUGAGAUGUUGGGUUAAGUCCCGCAACGAGCGCAACCCUCGUUUCUAGUUGCCAUCAUUAAGUUGGGCACUCUGGAGAGACUGCCGGUGACAAACCGGAGGAAGGUGGGGAUGACGUCAAGUCAGCAUGCCCCUUACGUCCUGGGCUACACACGUACUACAAUGCUAUGGACAAAGAGCAGCGAGCACGCGAGUGCAAGCAAAUCUCAUAAACCAUGGCUCAGUUCAGAUUGCAGGCUGCAACUCGCCUGCAUGAAGGCGGAAUCGCUAGUAAUCGCAGGUCAGCAUACUGCGGUGAAUACGUUCCCGGGCCUUGUACACACCGCCCGUCACACCAUGGGAGUUGGCCACGCCCGAAGUCGUUACUCCAACCGCUUGCGGAGGAGGACGCCGAAGGUAGGGCUGAUGACUGGGGGGAAGUCGUAACAAGGUAGCCGU